AGAGAUUUCACCUCAGAGUCACACCGCUCUGGCUUUUGUGAUUCUGAAAAUGUCACUCCUGUCAUUUGUCAAAUAUGCCUGAAACCUGCGUGCUCGCGGCACAUCUUGAGUCCAGAGGAAACUAUGCGACAUCAGACUCCUUUGCAAACAUCAUCCGAUUCAGAGCCACCUGAAGCUGAUAGGAGGGAGCAAGUGGCGAUCCAUGGGCAUGAAUGAUCUGACCCUUCUCUAUGUAAG
This 237-nucleotide long non-coding RNA is filed under the name Rattus norvegicus (Norway rat). RNAcentral describes it as "long non-coding RNA NONRATT032448". Lineage: Eukaryota; Metazoa; Chordata; Mammalia; Rodentia; Muridae. The record is from RNAcentral.